CGCAUCUGUGCAUGCAGCAUAUCAAUAAGCGGAGGAAAAGAAACUAACAAGGAUUCCCCUAGUAACGGCGAGUGAAGCGGGAAGAGCUCAAAUUUGAAAUCUUAAAGGGUUUCCCUUUACGAAUUGUAGUUUAAAGAAGUGUUUUCUGUUGAGGUUUUGGUAAAAGUUCUUUGGAAUAGGACAUCAUAGAGGGUGAGAAUCCCGUAUUUGACCUUUACUUUCAACUUUGUGAUACACUUUCAAAGAGUCGGAUUGUUUGGGAAUGCAGUCCAAAAUGGGUGGUAAAUUUCAUCUAAAGCUAAAUAUUGGCGAGAGACCGAUAGCGAACAAGUACCGUGAGGGAAAGAUGAAAAGAACUUUGAAAGGAGAGUUAAACAGUACGUGAAAUUGUCAAAAGGGAAGCGUUUGACACCAGUGUUGUUUUUCUGAAAAUCAAUUAAAGAACUGUUUAUGCUAAGUUGUUUAGACUUUAUCAGCUAACUGUUUAGUUUUGAGCUUUUCUUUAAUGCACUUUUCAGUUAACAAGUCAACAUCAAUUUCUUUUGCUGUAAAAAAGCUUGAGGAAGGUGGCUUGAGAUUCGUCUUAAGUGUUUAUAGCCUCUUGCCUAUGCAGUCGGAGAGAUUGAGGUCUGCAGCGUAGAUCCUUCGGGGCUAAAUGCAUUUGUGCUAAGUUAUAGCAUUUCAUAGACAACUUGUUGACUAUGAUUUGUCUUGUAGCUUACUCGCUUAUGUUAUUUUACCUACGCUUAGGAUGUUGAACGCGCACAGAGUCUC
RNAcentral lists this ribosomal RNA (774 nucleotides) under uncultured Neocallimastigales. RNAcentral describes it as "partial large subunit ribosomal RNA". It matches the Rfam family "Eukaryotic large subunit ribosomal RNA", at positions 26 to 611 of the family's 3401-position model. Lineage: Eukaryota; Fungi; Neocallimastigomycota; Neocallimastigomycetes; Neocallimastigales. The record is from RNAcentral.